This 703-nucleotide ribosomal RNA is filed under the name uncultured bacterium. Its description in RNAcentral is "bacterial SSU rRNA". It matches the Rfam family "Bacterial small subunit ribosomal RNA", at positions 126 to 850 of the family's 1533-position model. The record is from RNAcentral.
UUCCCCCGCGCACCGGGACACCGCGGGAAACCGCAGCUGAUACCGGGUACUCCGGGGCCCCCGCAUGGGGGCCCCGGGAAAGCUCCGGCGGCGGGGGAUGGGGUCGCGUCCCAUCAGGUAGUAGGCGGGGCAACGGCCCACCUAGCCGACGACGGGUAGCCGGGUUGAGAGACCGACCGGCCACAUUGGGACUGAGAUACGGCCCAGACUCCUACGGGAGGCAGCAGUGGGGAAUUUUGCGCAAUGGGGGCAACCCUGACGCAGCAACGCCGCGUGCGGGACGACGGCCUUCGGGUUGUAAACCGCUUUCAGCAGGGAAGAACCUUGACGGUACCUGCAGAAGAAGCCCCGGCUAACUACGUGCCAGCAGCCGCGGUAAUACGUAGGGGGCGAGUGUUAUCCGGAAUGAUUGGGCGUAAAGCGCGCGCAGGCGGCCGCUCAAGCGGGACCUCUAACCCCGGGGCUCAACCCCGGGCCGGGUCCCGAACUGGGCGGCUCGAGUGCGGUAGGGGAGAGCGGAAUUCCAAGUGUAGCGGUGAAAUGCGCAGAUAUUUGGAAGAACACCGAUGGCGAAGGCAGCUCUCUGGGCCGUCACUGACGCUGAGGCGCGAAAGCCGGGGGAGCGAACAGGAUUAGAUACCCUGGUAGUCCCGGCCGUAAACGAUGGGCGCUAGGUGUGGGGAAGCAUUUUCUCCGUGCCGCA